RNAcentral lists this ribosomal RNA (399 nucleotides) under Pseudomonas sp. FC23. RNAcentral describes it as "bacterial SSU rRNA". It matches the Rfam family "Bacterial small subunit ribosomal RNA", at positions 25 to 426 of the family's 1533-position model. The record is from RNAcentral. Lineage: Bacteria; Pseudomonadati; Pseudomonadota; Gammaproteobacteria; Pseudomonadales; Pseudomonadaceae.
CAGAACGAACGCUGGCGGCAGGCCUAACACAUGCAAGUCGAGCGGAAGAGAGAAGCUUGCUCCUCUAGACAGCGGCGGACGGGUGAGUAAUGCCUAGGAAUCUGCCUGGUAGUGGGGGAUAACGUUCCGAAACGGACGCUAAUACCGCAUACGUCCUACGGGAGAAAGCAGGGGACCUUCGGGCCUUGCGCUAUCAGAUGAGCCUAGGUCGGAUUAGCUAGUUGGUGGGGUAAUGGCUCACCAAGGCGACGAUCCGUAACUGGUCUGAGAGGAUGAUCAGUCACACUGGAACUGAGACACGGUCCAGACUCCUACGGGAGGCAGCAGUGGGGAAUAUUGGACAAUGGGCGAAAGCCUGAUCCACCCAUGCCGCGUGUGUGAAGAAGGUCUUCGGAUUGU